AGUUCCCACGCCGGGAAUCGAACCUGGGCCUCCUGGGUAAGAGCCAGGUGAAGAUAUCUGACUUCACCAUUAAAAC
Non-coding RNA from Cordylochernes scorpioides, 76 nucleotides. Lineage: Eukaryota; Metazoa; Arthropoda; Arachnida; Pseudoscorpiones; Chernetidae. The record is from the annotation of a GenBank genome assembly.